RNA transcript from Lagopus leucura (white-tailed ptarmigan), 2968 nucleotides. It is a transcript of the gene named neurofibromin 2, with no coding region annotated. NCBI's taxonomy places the organism in Eukaryota, Metazoa, Chordata, Aves, Galliformes, Phasianidae. The record is from RefSeq and is a predicted model, not a curated record. The transcript is spliced from 18 exons.
UGCCCCCGCGGCGCGGCCCUCGGCGCUGAGCUCCUCCCGCACCAUGGCCGGGGCCAUCGCGUCCCGCAUGAGCUUCAGCUCGCUCAAAAGGAAGCAGCCCAAGACCUUCACGGUGCGCAUCGUCACCAUGGACGCCGAGAUGGAGUUCAGCUGCGAGGUGAAGUGGAAAGGCAAGGACUUGUUUGACCUGGUAUGCAGAACGCUGGGACUCCGAGAAACAUGGUUCUUUGGCCUGCAGUACACUAUCAAGGACACGGUGGCUUGGCUUAAAAUGGACAAGAAGGUUCUGGAUCAUGACGUGCCAACAGAGGAACCUGUCACCUUUCACUUCCUAGCCAAAUUUUAUCCUGAGAACGCAGAGGAGGAGCUGGUCCAGGAGAUCACACAGCACUUGUUCUUCCUGCAGGUGAAGAAGCAGAUUUUGGAUGAGAAGAUCUACUGUCCUCCUGAAGCUUCUGUCCUGCUGGCCUCUUAUGCAGUCCAAGCCAAGUAUGGUGAUUAUGAUCCCAACGUCCACAAGCGAGGCUUUCUGGCACAGGAGGAGUUGCUUCCAAAGCGGGUAAUAAACCUGUACCAGAUGACUCCAGAGAUGUGGGAGGAGAGGAUUACAGCCUGGUAUGCAGAGCAUCGAGGCAGAGCAAGAGAUGAAGCAGAAAUGGAGUAUUUGAAGAUAGCUCAGGACUUGGAGAUGUAUGGAGUGAACUAUUUUGCAAUUAGGAAUAAGAAGGGUACUGAACUGCUCCUUGGAGUCGAUGCUUUGGGUCUUCACAUUUAUGACCCAGACAACAGAUUGACCCCUAAAAUCUCCUUCCCGUGGAAUGAGAUCCGGAAUAUCUCCUACAGUGAUAAAGAGUUUACAAUUAAGCCAUUGGACAAAAAGAUCGAUGUGUUCAAAUUCAAUUCAUCAAAGCUGCGUGUGAACAAGCUGAUUCUUCAGCUGUGCAUUGGAAACCACGAUCUUUUCAUGAGGAGGAGAAAGGCCGACUCAUUGGAGGUGCAGCAGAUGAAAGCACAGGCCAGGGAGGAGAAAGCCAGGAAGCAGAUGGAACGACAGCGCCUGGCCCGAGAGAAGCAAAUGAGAGAAGAAGCCGAAAGGACAAGGGAUGAGCUGGAGAGAAGGCUGAUGCAAUUAAAAGAAGAAGCAACGAUGGCCAACGAGGCCCUGAUGAGAUCUGAAGAGACAGCUGAUCUGCUGGCCGAGAAGGCUCAGAUCACGGAGGAGGAGGCCAAGCUCCUGGCUCAGAAAGCAGCAGAGGCUGAGCAAGAGAUGCAGCGAAUCAAAGCCACGGCCAUCCGGACGGAGGAGGAGAAGCGACUGAUGGAACAGAAGGUGCUAGAAGCAGAGAUGUUGGCACUGAAAAUGGCGGAGGAGUCAGAGAGGAGGGCAAAGGAGGCUGAUCAGCUAAAGCAAGACCUUCAGGAGGCUCGAGAGUCUGAGCGGAGAGCAAAGCAGAAGCUUUUGGAAAUCACUAGCAAGUCAUCCUACACGCAGUCCAUGAACUCCAGCACGACAGCACUGCCAACCGACCUGCCGAGCUUCAACCUCAUCAGUGAGAGCCUGUCCUUUGACUUCAAGGAUACAGACAUGAAGAGGCUGUCCAUGGAGAUCGAGAAAGAGAAGGUAGAGUACAUGGAGAAAAGCAAGCACCUGCAGGAGCAGCUGAAUGAGCUGAAGACUGAAAUCGAGGCGCUGAAGCUGAAGGAGAGAGAGACAGCUCUGGAUAUAUUGCACAACGAGAAUGCCAGCCGAGGCAACAGCAAGCACAACACUAUUAAAAAGCCUCAAGCCCAGGGCAGAAGACCUAUCUGCAUUUGACACAUCAAAAGCUGGCAGUGCCUUGGGCAGCAGGCUGAGCCAGGAGCUCGUGUGCCCGGAGGGAAGAUGUGUCUGGGGAAGCUGCUCUGCUCUUUCCAUGACUGAUCUUGCGUGCAGCCACAGCAAGUUUUGAGUUGUAGCGCUAAAGAAGAAGCAAUGCAGCUCACCCUACAGAGCACCAAGUCCCGCGUGGCCUUCUUCGAGGAGCUCUAGGAGGUGACCGGCCCUGAGGAGUGGGGUUCCCAUCCCACGGCCCCACGCCGCCCCGAUGCCUGCUGCUCCCACCUGGGCUAUGGACUGGGAUCUUCUCCUCUUAGCAUCCCCCAGUUUGAGUUUUCCCCAUGUUCUCCUGUCCUUUUCCCCCCCCCCCCCCCCCCCCUUAUUUUUCUACCUGCUCUGCUCUGUCUCGGCCCCCCAGGCUUUGUCCUCCAGGAGGAGGACGGGGUUUGGAUCGCAGCGCACCAAGGAGUGGAUGGGGCACUGCUGGCACCCGGAGCACGUGCAGGGAGAGGAGGAGAGCACGAAGGCUGAGGCUGCUGCUGUGCUGGGGAGAGGAGGAAGGGGCAGGAAGACCUCCUCCUCUUCCUCUGCAAGCAGGAAGGAGAACAACCCAUGCCAACCAGCUGUAGUCUUUUUUUCCCCGCAGACUGUGCCAGACAUGGGCAGUGUGAGGCUGUGGGUCUGCCCAACCUCUACCCGCUCUGUGCCUUUCCAGGAGCUGCAGCAGCUCCCUUACCAGCUCCAGCUCACCACUGCCCUGUUUCACUUCCCUAUUUAGGCUGAGCAGGCCGAGGUGCUGACGGCACCCAAACCCCCCCCGGGGACCCCCGUUGUCUCCCCCACAGGCCCCUGCCCACCGCUGGGCUCUGGGGCUGCCUCCAUCCCUGUGUCCCAUGCAAAGCAUCUCCCUGCAGGGGCCCGGGGCGCCCAGUGCCUGGCAGUGGGGCCCGGCCACGCGCUGCCUCCACCCCACGGCACCCCGACCCCUUUUAUUUAAGCACGCUGUCUGUAUCAGCUCCCUGCCCCAUGCGUGCCUGCCAUUUGGAUGGGUUCUCCCCUGACCCUGGUACAGCCUUUUUCUAUUCCCACGGAUUGUUGUAUCCUAAGAAAUGAUGGGUUCGUUUGUUUUAAUAAAAACUCAAAGCAGGAGGA